GGCUAACGCUGGCGGCGUGUCUUAGCCAUGCAAGUCGAGCGGACUUAUGGGGUAACUUAUAAGUCAGCGGCGGACGGCGGAGUAACACGUAGCUAACCUACCCUCUGGACGGGGGAUAACCUACCGAAAGGUGGGCUAAUACCCGAUGUAGUCAUCCUGUAUAGGGGUGAUGAAAGGUGGGCUUCUGUUUACAAGCUCAUGCUGGAGGAGGGGGCUGCGGCCUAUCAGGUAGUUGGUAGGGUAAUAGCCUACCAAGCCGAUGACGGGUAGCCGGCCUGAGAGGGUGACCGGCCCGAGGGGCACUGAGAUACGGGUCCCACUCCUACGGGAGGCAGCAGGCUAGAAAUUUGGGCAAUGGGGGAAACCCUGACCCAGUGGCGCCGCGUGCAGGAAGGAGCCCUUCGGGGUGUAAACUGCUGUCGUGUAGGGAGAAGGGUACUAAGGUGAACAAUCUUAGUACUUGACGGUACUACAGGAGGAAGCCCAGGCUAACCUCGUG
This 499-nucleotide ribosomal RNA is filed under the name uncultured bacterium. RNAcentral's name for it is "bacterial SSU rRNA". It matches the Rfam family "Bacterial small subunit ribosomal RNA", at positions 28 to 507 of the family's 1533-position model. The record is from RNAcentral.